This is a long non-coding RNA of Myotis daubentonii (Daubenton's bat), 927 nucleotides long. RefSeq lists it as uncharacterized. Lineage: Eukaryota; Metazoa; Chordata; Mammalia; Chiroptera; Vespertilionidae. The record is from RefSeq and is a predicted model, not a curated record.
AAAGUUUCUGGGUUGUUUCCCUUUGCUUCCUCUCACCCUCGCUCCCCCUCGGAGCCGCAGAGCCAGCAAUUGUGCAAGAGGAGCCGAGCGCGCAGGGCGCGUAUCACGGAGCGCAUGGUACAAGCCGCCGGCUCGGUGAUUAAUUAUCAGUGGCCGCUGGCCUCGCACUAACACCUAGCUUUCCCGGCAGGGCCAGCACACCCAGCCGCCGCCAGCUCGGCCGGACGGAGGAGAGGCUCUGGGGAGGACGCCGAGGCUGCUCCGGAGUGAGCCCUUAGGGAAACCAUGAAGUAACCCUGCACAUUCCAGUAACACAGUUAUGACAAAAUAGAGCCCAAGUAUGAAGUGAUCAAUUUUUUUGUAAAUGUUAAGAAAGAAAAACAGCAGAAACAAAAGUGCACAUAACAAUUCAAGAUUUCUUUAAAAAAAAAAAAAAAAGAAAGUAACUUACCUGUUGGGACAUUCUGAAUAAAAGACACACUGAGAGAUACACACUUCUGCACGCUCCAAGCAGCACCACGAUCUCAGACCGACGGUGCACAGGGUGAGGAGAAGCUGGGGCCCUUCCCAGGGAAUUUCCCCCAACAAUGCUUUCAGGUUAAAGAAUUGCAAAUACUAAAGGCUAUGUGUUGGCUUUCCCACGUUGACCGAUAGUGAGAGAUGUACCAUGAAAAUUAAGAAGUACAUCAACUAGGUCUAAAUGGCACCCACGAUAUCCAAGACAAUAUGGGAGUGGGAAUACCUCCACCUCAUCAAAGCUCACACACAGAGUAAGAAACUCCCAUGCAGUUUACAAUGUAAAAACAGACUGGAGAACUGAAGAAAAACAUAACAUUUUGAAAGUGAUUUCUGAUGUUUAUGAUGUUCAACAUUUAAACUGUAUUUUCACAGAACUUCAAUAAAAUCCAACUUAUUGAUUGCUAUAAA